RNAcentral lists this ribosomal RNA (253 nucleotides) under uncultured bacterium. RNAcentral describes it as "partial 16S ribosomal RNA". It matches the Rfam family "Bacterial small subunit ribosomal RNA", at positions 524 to 776 of the family's 1533-position model. The record is from RNAcentral.
UACGAAGGGGGCUAGCGUUGUUCGGAAUUACUGGGCGUAAAGGGUGCGCAGGCGGCCCUCCAAGUCAGGCGUGAAAGCCCCGGGCUCAACCCGGGAAUAGCGCUUGAGACUGGGGGGCUUGAGUUCGGGAGAGGAGAGUGGAAUUCCCAGUGUAGAGGUGAAAUUCGUAGAUAUUGGGAAGAACACCGGUGGCGAAGGCGGCUCUCUGGACCGACACUGACGCUGAGGCGCGAAAGCGUGGGGAGCAAACAGG